RNAcentral lists this ribosomal RNA (375 nucleotides) under uncultured bacterium. Its description in RNAcentral is "bacterial SSU rRNA". It matches the Rfam family "Bacterial small subunit ribosomal RNA", at positions 335 to 697 of the family's 1533-position model. The record is from RNAcentral.
ACUCCUACGGGAGGCAGCAGUAGGGAAGUUUUCCGCAAUGGACGAAAGUCGUGACGGAGCAAUGCCGCGUGAGUGAUGUAAGGUUUCGAAUCGUAAAGCUCUGUUGUAAGGGAAGAAUAGCAAGGAUAGGAAAUGAUCCUUGUCUGACGGUACCUUACCAGAAAGCCACGGCUAACUACGUGCCAGCAGCCGCGGUAAUACGUAGGUGGCAAGCGUUAUCCGGAAUUAUUGGGCGUAAAGCGCAUGUAGGCGGCUUUUUAAGGUCUGGUGUGAAAGCCUGUGGCUCGAACCACAGAAUUGCAUUGGAUACUGGAAAGCUAGAAUCUUUGGAGAGGUAAGUGGAAUUUCAUGUGUAGCGGUGGAAUGCGUAGAUAU